UGGGGAAUCUUGCACAAUGGGGGCAACCCUGAUGCAGCGACGCCGCGUGAGCGAUGAAGCCCUUCGGGGCGUAAAGCUCUUUCGACCGGAACGAUAAUGACGGUACCGGGAGAAGAAGCUGCGGCUAACUACGUGCCAGCAGCCGCGGUAAUACGUAGGCAGCAAGCGUUGUUCGGAGUUACUGGGCGUAAAGCGUGCGUAGGCGGUUUUCUAAGUUCGGUGUGAAAUCUCCCGGCUUAACUGGGAGGGUGCGCCGAAGACUGGGAAGCUGGAGUGUGGGAAAGGCAGGCGGAAUUCCUGGUGUAGCGGUGAAAUGCGUAGAUAUCAGGAGGAACACCGGCGGUGUAGACGGCUUGCUAGACCAUGACUGACGCUGAGGCACGAAAGCGUGGGUAGCAAACA
RNAcentral lists this ribosomal RNA (402 nucleotides) under uncultured bacterium. RNAcentral's name for it is "bacterial SSU rRNA". It matches the Rfam family "Bacterial small subunit ribosomal RNA", at positions 355 to 774 of the family's 1533-position model. The record is from RNAcentral.